UUAAACUUUCACUCCAUCGCCCCAACCUUGCCCUGAUUUUUCAUUUUAUUUGUUUUUAUUUUUAUAUUUUUACAUUUUAGAGAGAGAGACAGAGACUCACAGAGUAGCAGAGAGAAGGAAUCGUCUCAAUCAUAGAGACUAUCAGAGAAAAUAAUUUUUUUAUUUUAUUUUUUGUUGUUUUGGGUUUUGUUGGGUUUCCUUUUCCUUUGGCAUUCCAUGUGCAUGGAAGAAGCGAAACCCAGGAAGAGGAGGCCACUGGACCUUGACUGGGAGACCCUUUUGCCCAGCCAAGAGGACGACCCACCUGCUGUACUGAUCGUCAAGUCCAACAACAACCAAAACAUCAACACUCUCAAGGACUCUUCAAUGGCCGCCGCCGAUUCCCGAAAUUCAGAUUCCGAAUACUCUGAAUUGCGUGAUCAUGAACUUGACGAUAGAAUUGUGAGGCAGAAGAAGAACAUAGAGGGUAUGGGUCCCAGAUUGCCCGACAAGGGUGAAAAGCUUAGGCUUUCUCUCAAGCGAAUGGAGGAAGAAAGGGAACGGAGAAAACUCAGACGGGUUGAGACUGUAUACUUAGAGGAAGCUGAUAGAUAUGAGAAGCCCGUGCAACCUAUAUGUUCCUGCAUUCCUGGUGGGUGUGAUGGCUCCAAGAAAGAGCAUAUAACAUGUCAAUCCCAAUCACAGUCUUUAUUUGCUUCACGUUUUAGUCAGAAGAUAGAAGAAAAAACAGAUUCUGGGAAGACAAAUUCAUUUGACAAAGAGUUAUCAUUGUUGGGUUCUUGUGACCAUCGGCAAAUGAAAAACAAUGGAGAUGUUUCACAAAAGGGAAGACAAGAGAUUUCACAGAAGGGAAGACAAAAAUUUCGAUCGAUAGCAAAAGACAUGCCUUCUAAACACCCUGGCAAUAUGUCUCGGAAUGGAGCUAAUGGUGUUCACUCAUACAAUGAUCAGAAAGGAAGAGCUUUUUCUACUUAUUCUUCACAUGUUAGAGAAAACUCAUCUAAUUUCUUUGCCAAAAAGAAUGAUGCUUCUCAUAUAGGGAGUUCUAUUGUUUUGAGGCCCAGGAAGACCAUAGUUCUCAUAGAUGAGGAAGAACCUCAGAUUACAGAGGCAGCAGAACAAAUGGAGAAACUUCCUGAGUGCAUGAAAGAUGCUAAGAUCUACUACCCUUCAAGGGAUGACCCUGAAGCUGAAAUAAUUUCAUAUGCGGACAUGGACUGUCUUGCUCCUGAAGGCUACUUGACGUCAACUAUCAUGAAUUUUUACAUCAGAUAUCUACAGCAGCAUGCAUCUCCAACAAAUAGGGCAACAUGUGAUUGUCAUUUUUUCAAUACAUACUUUUACAAGAAGCUGAAAGAGGCCGUAUCGUACAAGGGUAACAACAAAGAUAAACUUUUUGUUAAGUUUAGAAGGUGGUGGAAGGGUGUAAAUAUAUUCCAGAAGGCAUACGUUCUUAUUCCAAUACAUGAAGAUGUUCAUUGGAGCCUGGUGAUUAUUUGUUUCCCAGACAAGGAAGAAGAAUCAGGACCUAUUAUACUCCAUUUAGACUCAUUAAGACUUCACUCUAGCAGAUCAGUUUUUCAAAACAUUAAGAGCUUCUUAAAAGAAGAAUGGCACUAUUUGGGUCAAGAAUUUGCUCUUCCAGAUCUCCCGAUUGCUGACAGUAUAUGGAGACAACUCCCUCAAAGAAUUACCGAGAAAAUUAUUUCGGUGCCCCAACAGAAAAAUGAAUAUGACUGUGGUCUAUUUGUACUUUUCUUCAUGGAGCGCUUUAUUGUAGAGGCUCCUGAAAGGCUGAAAAAGAAAGACUUAGCAAUGUUUGGGAAACAGUGGUUUAAACCUGAAGAGGCCUCUGGUUUGAGAGCGAAAAUCCGAAAUGUACUCAUUAAAGAAUUUAAAAAAGCAAGCGAGGUUGAAUGUAUAUCAGAGACAUUGUCUCCUUCUUCAAGUGAUGCUCAGGAAGAAUGGAUUUAACUCUCACAGGAUUGGAUCUGGUAUGAAGUCCUUAAAGAGGUUUGCCAUCUAUGUAUAGUGGUCACAGUCGAUGCAUAUGCAUUGGCCAAUCAACCAUGUACUCCCUGCCUCCAUUCAUUCGGUGUACUUUGGCGAAUCAACCAUGUAUAAACUUUUUCAAGUUAAUUUGUAUAGCCUGGAAAGUUGAAUACAAAGUGCCAUUUGUGCAAGAGAGCAGGUGGCUAACGGUUUUUUAUUUUUCCUGGAUGGAGACAUUCAUUUUAACUGGUGACAAGUUUAGAGAAUUUUAAAAAUUCUUGUGUGGUUAAUGGAAGAUGCGGGUCGCAGCCUAAUAGCUUGAUUUGGCAACCAGCAUUGUUGGAAGCAUAUAACUGCAAUUAAAUUGAGUGUUACUUUUGCAGUAAUAAAUGGUAAUCUCUCUCUUUCUCAAGUAUGGUAAAUUUCUUUAGGUGUUUUUAUUUUUAUUUUAUUUAUUUAUUUAUUAUUAUUAUUAUAUUUUUUUCACUCCUUGUGCUUAAAUAACUCCUGUGCAGUGGAGAUGAUCAUCUUCUCCUUUGCUUUUUUAUAUUCAUGUUCAUAAUCUUAUAUCAAUAUUGGUUAAAUCUUGUCCUUGGACAAAGGUUAUAAUCGCUCAACA
RNA transcript from Ziziphus jujuba (common jujube), 2611 nucleotides. It is a transcript of the gene named ubiquitin-like-specific protease 1D, with no coding region annotated. The transcript is spliced from 15 exons. NCBI's taxonomy places the organism in Eukaryota, Viridiplantae, Streptophyta, Magnoliopsida, Rosales, Rhamnaceae. The record is from RefSeq and is a predicted model, not a curated record.